CCUACGGGUGGCAGCAGUAGGGAAUUUUCGGCAAUGGGGGAAACCCUGACCGAGCAACGCCGCGUGAACGAAGAAGUUCUUCUUAAUGUAAAGUUCUUUUAACAGGGAAGAAAGAGAAAUUUGACGGUACCUGUUGAAUAAGCUCCGUCUAACUACGUGCCAGCAGCCGCGGUCAUCCGUAGGGAUGGAGCGUUAUCCGGAAUUAUUGGGCGUAAGGGGUGGGUAGAUGGCAUAGUAAGCCUUUUUGAAAAAUGCUGGGCUAAACCCAGUAGGGCAAAAGAUACUGCAAAGCUAGAGUAUGACAGAGGCGAGUGGAACUACAUGUGUAGCGGUAAAAUGCGUAAAUAUAUGGAAGAACACCAGUGGCGAAGGCGGCUUGCUGGGUUGAAACUGACACUGAGGCACGAAAGCGUGGGUAGCAAACAGGAUUAGAUACCCCUGUAGUC
Molecule: ribosomal RNA, 446 nt
Filed under: uncultured bacterium
Lineage: Bacteria
Description: partial 16S ribosomal RNA
Rfam family: Bacterial small subunit ribosomal RNA
Source: RNAcentral